GGGGCUAGUGAUGUUGCUUGCAGUUUUGGUGGGGUGGGAAUUAAAGUUGACAAGGAUCCAAGCUAUGAUAAUUGCUUGUAUAUGACCACUGGGACCAACAACAAAACUGCAACAAGUAACACGACGGCAAUGGCUUCAACUUCUCACUCCUCAUCAUCACAGGAUAAAGUUUUUGUAUGGGCUUACCGUCUCCUUCUUGUGAUAUUCCUUGCACUUCUGAACAUUGCUUGAUAUAGAAGCAUGAUAAAGUCUGCCAAAAUAGGACGAUAUCCAUGCUUUUCUUUAUAUGCAGGAGGACAUAUGGAUGAGAUUUUUCCUUAGAUUGAACAAGAAUGCGCAACUAGCAUGGAGAUAUCUGCCUGCUAUUAGUUUUGUACAAUAUUUUAGUAGGUGUUAGGAAAUGGCAUGCAAUACUAAUCCAUCGCUGUGAUGAGAUUUAGAGUUUACAUCCGUCUCUAUAUGUCAGUUGUUUGGCUUUUAUGUUCAUGUGCUAUUGAAAUUGCGAGUACAAUCUUUUAAGAUGUCAACUAUGACUGCAAAAAUUUUCCGGGGUGAGAAGACAUGGAGAAAAUUAUCUUCCUAAGUAGAGUUUGGAACUUCA
Molecule: unclassified non-coding RNA, 601 nt
Filed under: Hevea brasiliensis (rubber tree)
Lineage: Eukaryota; Viridiplantae; Streptophyta; Magnoliopsida; Malpighiales; Euphorbiaceae
Source: RNAcentral